GACGAACGCUGGCGGCGUGCUUAACACAUGCAAGUCGAACGGUGAAGCGCCUUCCUUUUUGGUGGGUGUGGAUGAGUGGCGAACGGGUGAGUAACACGUGAGUAACCUGCCCCCUUCUUCUGGAUAACCGCAUGAAAGUGUGGCUAAUACGGGAUAUUCUGGGUCUGUCGCAUGAUGGGUCUGGGAAAGAUAUUGUUUCGGUGGGGGAUGGGCUCGCGGCCUAUCAGCUUGUUGGUGGGGUGAUGGCCUACCAAGGCGGUGACGGGUAGCCGGCCUGAGAGGGUGGACGGUCCCACUGGGACUGAGACACGGCCCCGACUCCUACGGGAGGCAGCAGUGGGGAAUAGUGCACAAUGGGCGCAAGCCUGAUGCAGCGACGCCGCGUGAGGGAUGGAGGCCUUCGGGUUGUGAACCUCUUUCGCCAGUGAAGCAGGCCUGCCUCGUUUGUGGGUGGGUUGACGGUAGCUGGAUAAGAAGCGCCGGCUAACUACGUG
Molecule: ribosomal RNA, 494 nt
Filed under: uncultured bacterium
Lineage: Bacteria
Description: partial 16S ribosomal RNA
Rfam family: Bacterial small subunit ribosomal RNA
Source: RNAcentral